AUGGAGACGCUGCCGGACGACGUGGUGGUGGAGAUCCUGGCGCGCGUGACGGAUGUGGCAGCCCUCUUCCGCUGCGCCGCGACGUGCAAGCGAUGCCGCCUCCUCAUUGCCGAGCCGUCUUUCCUCCGCCGCCGCUGGCCGGAGGGCGUGAGCCGCGCGUGCUCCCUACUCGGCUUCUUCGCCAUGCAACAGCCCCGUGAAGAACCAACAGAAGGGAGCUCUACGGCUACGCCCAUGCCGCCCUUCACCCCGGUGCCAUGGUCCCCGCUCGGAGAGCGCCACCGCUCCCUGACCAUCACCGCCCCUGGGGGUCGUGGCUGCCAGGUAACGCUGCUCACCUCGCGCCGUGGCCUUCUUGUUAUGCGGUUCUUCCCACUCGAGGAACCCAGCGACUGGUACAUUAAGACCAUGAACCUGACAUUGUACGAUCCAAUCGCCGGCAAAAGCCGUCAGCUGCCUGAGUUGAAGAGCAAUAGACCUUUCCGAAUACAAGGAUGUGCCCUUCUAACCCGUGAGGAUUGUUGCCCGGACAAAACACGAGGAGCAGCGUCAUCGGUCCCCUCGUCCUUCCUCAAAGUGCUAAUCAUCGGCGUCGAUCAAGAUGAGCCAGGCGCCGAUCAAGACGAGCCACGGCACAAUCUCCACGUGUUCACUUCCACCAAGUCAAGCUCGAGCUGGAACACGCCCAGGAAGUGCUUUCAGCCUUUGGAGGACGGCACGCGUGUGGUGUCCCAGCAGAUCAGCGCUGUCGUGUGCCAAGGCACUGCACAUUGGCUCUUCAGCAAUACGUCUAACUUGUACGCACUCACUGUGUGUGCUAGGACCACAGAGAUGUCCUUAACAAGGAUCCCAGUCACACCGGAUCAUCCUCGGCUGCUGCUCGGAGUCACCGAUGGCGGGUCGCCAUCGUUGCUUCGCUUGGACGGGCAAUGCACCAUGCUGGAGAUCUGGACAUGCCGAACUGAUAACAUGAGUGGAGACAGCAACACUGGCCGCUGGCAUUGCACCAAGAUGAUCGAGUUACGACCACCCGAGUGGAGCAAGAUCGACCAGGCACAGUGUGUGUGCGUGGGUGAGACGAGCGGCAAACUGCUCAUCAAGGACAAUCAAGAAGACAUGUACAUCGUAGAUCUCCAAACAGGGGCAAUGGAGGCGGUCACGAGCUGGUUUCGCGGCAUUGUUUUGAGGGCCAUCCCUUUUGAGAUGGAUUGGCCAGCCUUCUUCACCCGUCGCUUGGCGAACACUAGGAUCAAACGAACUAAACCGGGAGGAGUUCUAUCAAAAUUUGCUGACCCUUUUUGGGGACAAAUAGUAGUGACGCUUAUCAUUGUGUCAAUUGCUAUGAGU
RNAcentral lists this ribosomal RNA (1347 nucleotides) under Triticum aestivum (bread wheat). Its description in RNAcentral is "partial small subunit ribosomal RNA". The record is from RNAcentral. Lineage: Eukaryota; Viridiplantae; Streptophyta; Magnoliopsida; Poales; Poaceae.